GAUGAACGCUGGCGGCGUGCCUAACACAUGCAAGUCGAACGGAGUCAUUUUGGAAAGUUCUUCGGAACUGGAAUCUAUGACUUAGUGGCGGACGGGUGAGUAACGCGUGAGCAAUCUGCCCUUGACUUUGGGAUAACUUCAGGAAACUGGGGCUAAUACCGGAUAGGAGCUCCUGCUGCAUGGUGGGGUUGGAAAGUUUCGGCGGUUGGGGAUGGACUCGCGGCUUAUCAGCUUGUUGGUGGGGUAGUGGCUUACCAAGGCUUUGACGGGUAGCCGGCCUGAGAGGGUGACCGGCCACAUUGGGACUGAGAUACGGCCCAG
This 321-nucleotide ribosomal RNA is filed under the name uncultured bacterium. Its description in RNAcentral is "bacterial SSU rRNA". It matches the Rfam family "Bacterial small subunit ribosomal RNA", at positions 28 to 334 of the family's 1533-position model. The record is from RNAcentral.